This 583-nucleotide long non-coding RNA is filed under the name Microcebus murinus (gray mouse lemur). RNAcentral's name for it is "lncRNA (ENSMICG00000048853.1)". Lineage: Eukaryota; Metazoa; Chordata; Mammalia; Primates; Cheirogaleidae. The record is from RNAcentral.
AUGGAAAUUAUAUUAGAACUUCAGCAAAGUGCACAGCUGCAUAAUACAGAAGCCGGCACUCAGAUUGACAGGCAAAUAAGCCAGCUUGUGGAAGGGGCCUCUGGGUGGCAGCUCUGGGCUUUUGGGUGUUGGACAACUAUAGGCAAAACUGAAAUGGAACAGGGGCAGGACAUAGCACACUUUUACUCUACGCAACUGUUGCUUUCUCAUGAUCUUCAGGAAUUUUACUGGAAUAAUUGUCAAAAUAAAAUUCCAAGCAUUCUAUGCAAAUGUCUGCAGAUGCACGGCUGGUGGUGUGGCUCAGACGGAGCAAGGGUUACAUCAAGGCUGUUCUCUGGACCGUGCAAACAGUCUAGACCAAUGACCUGCAGCAUCAUGCCCUUUGAAGAAGAGGCAAGUUCGGUCAUGAUGAAGAAAAAUCAAGGCGUACCCCCUUUAACAAUAGGGAGCAGCUCGAGGCUGCAAAGAGGUCAUUAUGUGGCAUUGUAAAGAGAUAGCUCCAAAAUAACAGAGCUGCUUCUAAGAUGAAGAAAACUCCCAAUGUCAAGAUUUGGACAAAGAAGAGAAUUAAAUACUCAAUAUG